Callithrix jacchus (white-tufted-ear marmoset) is the source of this 300-nucleotide unclassified non-coding RNA. It matches the Rfam family "Metazoan signal recognition particle RNA". From Rfam's summary of the family: The signal recognition particle (SRP) is a universally conserved ribonucleoprotein. It is involved in the co-translational targeting of proteins to membranes. The record is from Ensembl. NCBI's taxonomy places the organism in Eukaryota, Metazoa, Chordata, Mammalia, Primates, Cebidae.
GCCUGGCACGGUGGCGCGUGCCUGUAGUCCCAGCUACUCGGGAGGCUGAGGCUGGAGAAUCCCUUGAGUUCAGGAGUUCUGGGCUGUAGUGUGCUAUACCGAUCAAGUGUCCCCACUAAGUUCAGCAUCAAUAUGGUGACUUCCCCGGAGCCUAGGACCACCAGGUUGCCUAAGGAGGGGUGAACCGGCCCAGGUCGGAAACGGACCAGGUUAAAACUCCCGGGCUGAUCAGUAGAGGGAUUGCGCCUAUGAAUAGCCACUGCACUCCAGCCUGGGCAACAUAAUGAGACCUUGCCUCUU